Molecule: non-coding RNA, 336 nt
Organism: Vicia faba (fava bean)
Lineage: Eukaryota; Viridiplantae; Streptophyta; Magnoliopsida; Fabales; Fabaceae
Source: the annotation of a GenBank genome assembly
AAAAACACAAAAGGUUUCGUUCUGUUAAAGCCCACAAGCGAACUUGCAAAGCGGGAGAGAAAAACACGAAGAUAUAUCAUAUCAUUUAUAUUCAGAGAGAGAAGAAGCUUCAGAUACAAACGAUUUUUCUCUUCUAUUCAUUCGUCAAAAAAGAGUCUCUUAAACACACAAUUUUCUUCUCCACCCAUACUUUUCUCGAUCUGUUCUCCGAUUACCACCACCACCACCACCGAUUUUUAUCCGAUCCGUAACUUUUCCUUUUCUCAUUCGUUUCUCGGUAAUUUUCCUUUCUUUCUUCUUCUUCCGCGUUGUGUUUUUCUGUUACUCUUUGGUUAA